AGUCCUGGAAAUGAUCUUGAUGCUAUCUGUUCCUCGUUACAGCAGACCUGCUCAACUUCAGCAGCUAGAAGGAGGAUUGUCUUUCACCAGCUGCAGGAGCCUGUUCCCACUACAAGCCUGGUGGAGUCUUCGGAGCAGAUGUGACUGUCCUACUUGUAUAGAGAAGAGAAACUGAGGCUCAGAAGAGAUGCCUGGCUGAGUUUAAUAGGACUGCAACAACAAUUUUGCCUUUCUACUUUCUGCUCACCGAAGAAGACAGGAAAACUUGUCAGAUGGGGAAGGAUGUGUCAAGAGCAUGCACACAGAUUUACUCUUCAGCUAGAAGCUCCAAUUCCUAGAUGAUCUGAAUCCAACUCAGAGUGCUUGCACCUGUUUCCUGCCACACAGCUAGAGCUGUGUCCCUCUAGGUUCUCUGAUUGGCUGAAGCUACUCUAAGCCAAGAGAUCAAAGAAGCUGAUAAUGUAGAAUGUAAGUUUGUCUCCUGGGCCACAAUGGAAAGCAGAGACUGUAGCUGGAGGAGUGAAUAGAGGAUAUGCAGCUCUGGUAAUUCUCAGUACAAUUCCCAGUGGUCCACUCUGCAGAAUGAACCAAGUUCCAUUUUGCCCAACUUCUGGCAGUCCACAUUUGGACUGUGAGCUCACCUACAGAUAAAUCGUACGUGGAUUGAUGCAGUAACUGGAUUUGUAGCUGCUAAAUCUUAUUUAAGUGAGGACCUGUCCAGUACAUGUGAAGACCACCCAUCCACUGAAAGUGAUAAGUGAAGCUGAAUCAAUACUAGACUGAAUCAAUACUGAGCUGAAUCAAUACUUUCCCAAUUUUGAGGAAAUCUUGGAAAAUCUCUGAGAAAUGUGGUAGUAAUUAUUUUGAAGAAUUGGAAAACUUUAUAGCUGAUUAUGCUAUGUGUGGAAGAUACAACAGGAUUAUAAGAGAGAGAAGACAAUAUCCUUGCUGUGUCCAGAAGGCUUUAGCCGGGGUGUCCUACUGAGAGAUGACAAACUUAAGGUUUUUCUCUUCCCAGACAUUACUGGACAACUAGCUAUGUAAUUAGGUCUUAUGCCGAAAAGACUGAAAGGAAAACAUCUCAGAUCUAGGAAUGUGAUCAAGAAAGAAGGCUGGUUAAAGAAUAACAUGGGGAAAAUGAAUGCAGUGAAAUGGUUCACGCACAAGUUCUAGGAAUUCAGAGUGCAACAGCAGAAAUGCGAUUUUUGUUAGAUAUUUCAGAAAGUGAUGUGAGUCCCUGAGGUCAUACUGCAGCGUUCAGGUUCUGUUUGGCCUCCUGCACGAAGCUUUCCUUGAUUGGAAAAGCUGCAUACUCUGAAGCACAUCGCAUGUGUCCUGUCUGUAGUUCAUUUCAUUUCCCCAGAUUUGUUAUCAUCCACCAUCACUCAUACAAGCCUACCUUCUUCAUGCCAACCUUUGUAAUCUUUCUACCUUGCUAACCUGGUCAUGUCAAGGACCAGCUAAUAAAUAGCAAAGUUGUACCUUGAGCCAAGGUAUCUUGACUCUUAGUCCAGUGCUCUUUAUAUACCUCUGAAGUCUUAUUUGAGCUUCAAAAUUAUGAGUCUGUGCUCUCAAGAUUUUUUUGAAAAUGUACUUAAUGUUGCCCCUAAGCUUUUAUGAGAAAUAAUAAAGUUCUUUCCAGAUUGAA
This is a long non-coding RNA of Homo sapiens (human), 1648 nucleotides long. NCBI's taxonomy places the organism in Eukaryota, Metazoa, Chordata, Mammalia, Primates, Hominidae. The record is from Ensembl.